This 274-nucleotide ribosomal RNA is filed under the name uncultured bacterium. Its description in RNAcentral is "partial 16S ribosomal RNA". It matches the Rfam family "Bacterial small subunit ribosomal RNA", at positions 523 to 796 of the family's 1533-position model. The record is from RNAcentral.
AUACAGAGGGUGCAAGCGUUAUUCGGAAUUACUGGGCGUAAAGCGCGCGUAGGCGGAUGAUUAAGUCAGUUGUGAAAGCCCUGGGCUCAACCUAGGAACUGCAUCUGAUACUGGUCAUCUAGAGUUUAAGAGAGGGAAGUGGAAUUCCAGGUGUAGCAGUGAAAUGCGUAGAUAUCUGGAGGAACAUCAGUGGCGAAGGCGACUUCCUGGCUUAGAUCUGACGCUGAGGUGCGAAAGCGUGGGUAGCGAACGGGAUUAGAAACCCUAGUAGUCC